AGAGUUUGAUCCUGGCUCAGAUUGAACGCUGGCGGCAUGCCUUACACAUGCAAGUCGAACGGUAACGCGGGGCAACCUGGCGACGAGUGGCGAACGGGUGAGUAAUGCAUCGGAACGUGCCCAGUAGUGGGGGAUAGCCCGGCGAAAGCCGGAUUAAUACCGCAUACGACCUACGGGUGAAAGCGGGGGAUCGCGAGACCUCGCGCUAUUGGAGCGGCCGAUGUCAGAUUAGGUAGUUGGUGAGGUAAAGGCUCACCAAGCCUUCGAUCUGUAGCUGGUCUGAGAGGACGACCAGCCACACUGGGACUGAGACACGGCCCAGACUCCUACGGGAGGCAGCAGUGGGGAAUUUUGGACAAUGGGCGCAAGCCUGAUCCAGCCAUGCCGCGUGCGGGAAGAAGACCUUCGGGUUGUAAACCGCUUUUGUCAGGGAAGAAACGCUCUGGGUUAAUACCCUGGGGUAAUGACGGUACCUGAAGAAUAAGCACCGGCUAACUACGUGCCAGCAGCCGCGGUAAUACGUAGGGUGCAAGCGUUAAUCGGAAUUACUGGGCGUAAAGCGUGCGCAGGCGGUUUUGUAAGUCUGUCGUGAAAGCCCCGGGCUCAACCUGGGAAUUGCGAUGGAGACUGCAAAGGCUUGAAUCUGG
RNAcentral lists this ribosomal RNA (647 nucleotides) under uncultured beta proteobacterium. RNAcentral's name for it is "bacterial SSU rRNA". It matches the Rfam family "Bacterial small subunit ribosomal RNA", at positions 8 to 651 of the family's 1533-position model. The record is from RNAcentral. Lineage: Bacteria; Pseudomonadati; Pseudomonadota; Betaproteobacteria.